GGACCUGACUGCUAUCGGAUUGAUACUAAGCCAUGCGAGUCAUUGUAGCAAUACAAGGCAGACGGCUCAGUAACGCGUAGUCAACCUAACCUAUGGACGGGAAUAACCUCGGGAAACUGAGAAUAAUGCCCGAUAGAACACUAUACCUGGAAUGGUUUGUGUUCCAAAUGAUUUAUCGCCGUAGGAUGGGACUGCGGCCUAUCAGUUUGUUGGUGAGGUAAUGGCCCACCAAGACUAUUACAGGUACGGGCUCUGAGAGGAGUAGCCCGGAGAUGGGUACUGAGACACGGACCCAGGCCCUAUGGGGCGCAGCAGGCGAGAAAACUUUGCAAUGUGCGAAAGCACGACAAGGUUAAUCCGAGUGGUUUUUGCUAAAGGAACCUUUUGUCGGUCCUAGAAACACCGAUGAAUAAGGGGUGGGCAAGUUCUGGUGU
This 434-nucleotide ribosomal RNA is filed under the name uncultured archaeon. RNAcentral's name for it is "bacterial SSU rRNA". It matches the Rfam family "Archaeal small subunit ribosomal RNA", at positions 19 to 458 of the family's 1478-position model. The record is from RNAcentral.